CACUGGAUCAGAACUUGGUUUGUACUACUGCGCUCUACAUGAGACCAAGUUUUCUAGAAAUAAGAAUGGAGAAAGACUAAAAGAGGAUAUUUAUCAUGAUGGGAACAGAACCACUUUCCUCUCUUUCCAGGACACAACGGUUCCUUGUGCCAAUCUCUCCGAAACCCCCUCCACCCCUCCUGUAUCAGACUGUAGUGUCUGCUGGAAGCUGCUGGUCAGUGUGUGUCCUGUGUGUGUUCUCCUCUCCUCAGUGGUCUCCUCCAUCUGUGUGUACUGCAUCUGCACCACCAGAACUAAAGCUGAUCAUGACGCAGACCAGCAAAGGAAUAUCAGCAUGAGAAAACAUGAUGAGGUUGGAAAUGAUGUUUGCUAUGCUUCAUUGGACGUCCCGAGUGGUCAUAAGAAACGGCCGAAGACGAGGACAGUUGAAAGCUCUGAUUUCUGCACAUAUUCUCAGGUUAAAAUUUGAGAAAAUGUAGAACUUCUGAGGAGUACGCUGGGCGAUCAGGAGGUCCAAGAAUGAAGGUACCUCAGACAUCAAGUUUGG
Pygocentrus nattereri (red-bellied piranha) is the source of this 547-nucleotide long non-coding RNA. RefSeq lists it as uncharacterized. The transcript is spliced from 4 exons. The record is from RefSeq and is a predicted model, not a curated record. Lineage: Eukaryota; Metazoa; Chordata; Actinopteri; Characiformes; Serrasalmidae.